GUUCUUCAUUCAGACUCUUUCCCUCAGAGAUGAUUGACCAGAUGUUUGAUCUUCACCAGAUUAAUCUCUUCAUUUAAAAAACUUCUGCAGAUCAAAAACCAUACGAAUGGUUUAAAAACAAAUAACGGAAAUGAGGAUGAAGAAAGAAGAGAAGAAUGGACACCACAAAUAAACCUGGAUUAAUAACGAAUCAAAAAAACUGAAAUUUGCCACCUGAUGUGUUCUUAGAAAUGUUUUCCUUCAGCUUAGACCCUUUAUUAAUGAAUGAACCGCCAACUUACACAGCGGAUAAUCAUGUGUAUAAAAAAGAAAAUCAAACACGGAGAGUACAAAAAAAACUCUUUUGUACGAGGAACUACUUUCUUCCACCAUUCAUGCACAUCUGCAGCUGACCGU
Molecule: long non-coding RNA, 396 nt
Filed under: Danio rerio (zebrafish)
Lineage: Eukaryota; Metazoa; Chordata; Actinopteri; Cypriniformes; Danionidae
Description: lncRNA si:ch211-79h15.3 (ENSDARG00000104833.2)
Source: RNAcentral